This 497-nucleotide ribosomal RNA is filed under the name uncultured bacterium. RNAcentral's name for it is "partial 16S ribosomal RNA". It matches the Rfam family "Bacterial small subunit ribosomal RNA", at positions 28 to 507 of the family's 1533-position model. The record is from RNAcentral.
GAUGAACGCUGGCGGCGUGCCUAAUACAUGCAAGUCGAGCGAACAGAUAAGGAGCUUGCUCCUUUGACGUUAGCGGCGGACGGGUGAGUAACACGUGGGUAACCUACCUAUAAGACUGGGAUAACUUCGGGAAACCGGAGCUAAUACCGGAUAACAUUUGGAACCGCAUGGUUCUAAAGUGAAAGAUGGUUUUGCUAUCACUUAUAGAUGGACCCGCGCCGUAUUAGCUAGUUGGUAAGGUAACGGCUUACCAAGGCAACGAUACGUAGCCGACCUGAGAGGGUGAUCGGCCACACGGGAACUGAGACACAGUCCAGACUCCUACGGGAGGCAGCAGUAGGGAAUCUUCCGCAAUGGGCGAAAGCCUGACGGAGCAACGCCGCGUGAGUGAUGAAGGGUUUCGGCUCGUAAAACUCUGUUAUUAGGGAAGAACAAAUGUGUAAGUAACUGUGCACGUCUUGACGGUACCUAAUCAGAAAGCCACGGCUAACUACGUG